This 759-nucleotide ribosomal RNA is filed under the name uncultured Enterobacteriaceae bacterium. RNAcentral's name for it is "bacterial SSU rRNA". It matches the Rfam family "Bacterial small subunit ribosomal RNA", at positions 28 to 776 of the family's 1533-position model. Lineage: Bacteria; Pseudomonadati; Pseudomonadota; Gammaproteobacteria; Enterobacterales; Enterobacteriaceae. The record is from RNAcentral.
AUUGAACGCUGGCGGCAGGCCUAACACAUGCAAGUCGAGCGGCAGCGGAAAGUAGCUUGCUACUUUGCCGGCGAGCGGCGGACGGGUGAGUAAUGUCUGGGAAACUGCCUGAUGGAGGGGGAUAACUACUGGAAACGGUAGCUAAUACCGCAUGACCUCGAAAGAGCAAAGUGGGGGAUCUUCGGACCUCACGCCAUCGGAUGUGCCCAGAUGGGAUUAGCUAGUAGGUGAGGUAAUGGCUCACCUAGGCGACGAUCCCUAGCUGGUCUGAGAGGAUGACCAGCCACACUGGAACUGAGACACGGUCCAGACUCCUACGGGAGGCAGCAGUGGGGAAUAUUGCACAAUGGGCGCAAGCCUGAUGCAGCCAUGCCGCGUGUGUGAAGAAGGCCUUAGGGUUGUAAAGCACUUUCAGCGAGGAGGAAGGCAUCAUACUUAAUACGUGUGGUGAUUGACGUUACUCGCAGAAGAAGCACCGGCUAACUCCGUGCCAGCAGCCGCGGUAAUACGGAGGGUGCAAGCGUUAAUCGGAAUUACUGGGCGUAAAGCGCACGCAGGCGGUUCGUUAAGUCAGAUGUGAAAUCCCCGCGCUUAACGUGGGAACUGCAUUUGAAACUGGCAAGCUAGAGUCUUGUAGAGGGGGGUAGAAUUCCAGGUGUAGCGGUGAAAUGCGUAGAGAUCUGGAGGAAUACCGGUGGCGAAGGCGGCCCCCUGGACAAAGACUGACGCUCAGGUGCGAAAGCGUGGGGAGCAAACAGG